Molecule: long non-coding RNA, 218 nt
Filed under: Trifolium pratense (red clover)
Lineage: Eukaryota; Viridiplantae; Streptophyta; Magnoliopsida; Fabales; Fabaceae
Description: long non-coding RNA (TPRA_LNC011264)
Source: RNAcentral
UGUGGCCACAAGAAUGUCAAUAAUGAACAAAUUAUGAUUAUGCAAUUCAUAAGUACUUUAAGAACACAAUAUCAUACUCGAUAGGAGUAUUGAUAUUAUACGUAGUACUUACUAUUUAUGACCGUUUAGAAUGUGUAGUGUUGGUAAAGGAUAAGCACAAUAUAUUUGCAUGCUAAGAGAUAAUUGUGCAUUUUCCAACAAAUUGACUUAAGCAUCUA